UACAGAGGUCCCAAGCGUUGUUCGGAUUCAUUGGGCGUAAAGGGUGUGUAGGUGGCGCCGUAAGUCGGGUGUGAAAUCUCGGGGCUUAACUCCGAAACUGCAUUCGAUACUGCGGUGCUUGAGGACUGGAGAGGAGACUGGAAUUCAUGGUGUAGCAGUGAAAUGCGUAGAGAUCAUGAGGAAGACCAGUGGCGAAGGCGGGUCUCUGGACAGUUCCUGACGCUGAGGCACGAAGGUCAGGGGAGCAAACGGG
Molecule: ribosomal RNA, 253 nt
Filed under: uncultured bacterium
Lineage: Bacteria
Description: partial 16S ribosomal RNA
Rfam family: Bacterial small subunit ribosomal RNA
Source: RNAcentral